GAUGAACGCUGGCGGCGUGCCUAAUACAUGCAAGUCGAGCGAACGGACGAGAAGCUUGCUUCUCUGGUGUUAGCGGCGGACGGGUGAGUAACACGUGGAUAACCUACCUAUAAGACUGGGAUAACUUCGGGAAACCGGAGCUAAUACCGGAUAAUAUUUUGAACCGCAUGGUUCAAAAGUGAAAGACGGUCUUGCUGUCACUUAUAGAUGGAUCCGCGCUGCAUUAGCUAGUUGGUAAGGUAACGGCUUACCAAGGCAACGAUGCAUAGCCGACCUGAGAGGGGGAUCGGCCACAAUGGAACUGAGACACGGUCCAGACUCCUACGGGAGGCAGCAGUAGGGAAUCUUCCGCAAUGGGCGAAAGCCUGACGGAGCAACGCCGCGUGAGUGAUGAAGGGCUUCGGAUCGUAAAACUCUGUUAUUAGGGAAGAACAUAUGUGUAAGUAACUGUGCACAUCUUGACGGGACCUAAUCAGAAAGCCACGGCUAACUACGGGC
This 498-nucleotide ribosomal RNA is filed under the name uncultured bacterium. RNAcentral describes it as "partial 16S ribosomal RNA". It matches the Rfam family "Bacterial small subunit ribosomal RNA", at positions 28 to 508 of the family's 1533-position model. The record is from RNAcentral.